UAGGGAAUAUUAGAAAUGGACGAAAGUCUGAUCUAGCAACACCGCGUGUGCGAAGAAGGCCUUCGGGUCGUAAAGCACUUUUUGGAAGGAAUAGGAAGGAAUGUACUUCCAGAAUAAGUCUCGGCUAACUACGUG
RNAcentral lists this ribosomal RNA (135 nucleotides) under uncultured bacterium. Its description in RNAcentral is "partial 16S ribosomal RNA". It matches the Rfam family "Bacterial small subunit ribosomal RNA", at positions 355 to 507 of the family's 1533-position model. The record is from RNAcentral.